Nylanderia fulva is the source of this 253-nucleotide non-coding RNA. NCBI's taxonomy places the organism in Eukaryota, Metazoa, Arthropoda, Insecta, Hymenoptera, Formicidae. The record is from RefSeq and is a predicted model, not a curated record.
GACAUAAGGAUUACUCGGAUACUGAUAAAUCUUAUGAAUCGAUAUCUGAUGAAGAUAGCAACACAUACCCUACAUUACCACUUUCUGGCAAGAGACACGAUAAUGAUCGCUCUCCAAUGGAAAGUCAAAAUAUUACUAAUCAUAACUUCAAGCGAACUACAGAUAGCGUUCACGUAAAUGCUGAAUUUUCAGAAUUCAGAAAACAACUUCUUAAAGAAGUUCAUCUGAUUAAUCUUAAAUUAAAUGAUCUUAU